This 208-nucleotide unclassified non-coding RNA is filed under the name Hevea brasiliensis (rubber tree). Lineage: Eukaryota; Viridiplantae; Streptophyta; Magnoliopsida; Malpighiales; Euphorbiaceae. The record is from RNAcentral.
CACGGCAAUGGCAAACAACAAUUUAAUAAAAAAAAAAUAAUAAGGAAAGCAUCAAAAAGAUGCCCUUAAGGUUCAAAUAUGAACAAAUCUUUUCGACCUAGUAAAAUUAAAUGUCUACUCAUUUUUUUCCACCGGAGAUGUUACACCGGCACAGAGGGCAAGAGUUGCAGUUAGAUAGCCAGGAGGAGAUACAACCUGCAUGGUAGAC